CAGUAGCGUAUAUUAAAGUUGUUGCAGUUAAAAAGCUCGUAGUUGGACUUCUGGUUUGGUGCGCUCGGCCCGCUCCCUUUAGGGAUGUGAGUGUUGACGCGCGCCUUCCAUCUUUGUACAGGACCUCUCUGCCCUUCAUUGGGACUGGAUUGGCGAUGUGCAUCUUUUACUUUGAGAAAAUUAAAGUGUUCAAAGCAGGCGCUCGCUUGAAUACAUUAGCAUGGAAUAAUAGUAUAGGACUUUGAUCUUAUUUGUUGGUUUUAAAGAUCAAAGUAAUGAUUGAUAGGGACAGUUGGGGGCAUCAGUAUUCUGAAGCGAGAGGUGAAAUUCUUGGACCUUCGGAAGACUAACAACUGCGAAAGCAUUGCCAAGGAUGUUCUCUUAAUCAAGAACGAAAGUUA
Molecule: ribosomal RNA, 401 nt
Filed under: uncultured eukaryote
Lineage: Eukaryota
Description: bacterial SSU rRNA
Rfam family: Eukaryotic small subunit ribosomal RNA
Source: RNAcentral